RNAcentral lists this ribosomal RNA (254 nucleotides) under uncultured bacterium. RNAcentral describes it as "partial 16S ribosomal RNA". It matches the Rfam family "Bacterial small subunit ribosomal RNA", at positions 524 to 776 of the family's 1533-position model. The record is from RNAcentral.
UACAGGGGGUGCAAACGUUGCUCGGAAUCAUUGGGCGUAAAGCGCACGUAGGCGGUUCGUUAAGUCGGAUGUGAAAGCCCUCGGCUCAACUGAGGAAGUGCACCCGAAACUGGCGAGCUUGAGUACGAAAAGAGGAUCGCGGAAUUCCUGGUGUAGCGGUGAAAUGCGCAGAUAUCAGGAGGAACACCGGUGGCGAAGGCGGGUCUCUGGGCCGAUACUGACGCUGAGGAGCGAAAGCGUGGGGAGCGAACAGG